RNAcentral lists this ribosomal RNA (461 nucleotides) under uncultured bacterium. RNAcentral's name for it is "bacterial SSU rRNA". It matches the Rfam family "Bacterial small subunit ribosomal RNA", at positions 30 to 504 of the family's 1533-position model. The record is from RNAcentral.
UGAACGCUGGCGGCGUGCUUAACACAUGCAAGUCGAACGGAAAGGCCCAAGCUUGCUUGGGUACUCGAGUGGCGAACGGGUGAGUAACACGUGGGUGAUCUGCCCUGCACUUCGGGAUAAGCCUGGGAAACUGGGUCUAAUACCGGAUAGGACCACAUUUUGGAUGGUGUGGUGGAAAGUUUUUCGGUGUGGGAUGAGCUCGCGGCCUAUCAGCUUGUUGGUGGGGUAAUGGCCUACCAAGGCGUCGACGGGUAGCCGGCCUGAGAGGGUGUACGGCCACAUUGGGACUGAGAUACGGCCCAGACUCCUACGGGAGGCAGCAGUGGGGAAUAUUGCACAAUGGGCGCAAGCCUGAUGCAGCGACGCCGCGUGGGGGAUGACGGCCUUCGGGUUGUAAACUCCUUUCGCUAGGGACGAAGCGUUAUGUGACGGUACCUGGAGAAGAAGCACCGGCUAACUAC